CAGUAGCCACGGGAAUACGUAGGGGGCAAGCGUUGUCCGGAAUUAUUGGGCGUAAAGCGCGCGCAGGCGGUUCUUUAAGUCUGGUGUAUAAGUGCGGGGCUCAACCCCGUGAGGCACUGGAAACUGGGGAACUUGAGUGCAGAAGAGGAGAGCGGAAUUCCACGUGUAGCGGUGAAAUGCGUAGAGAUGUGGAGGAACACCAGUGGCAAAGGCGGCUCUCUGGACUGUAACUGACGCUGAGGCGCGAAAGCGUGGGGAGCAAACAGGAUUAGAUACCCCAGUAGUCCCUGUCUCUUAUACC
RNAcentral lists this ribosomal RNA (301 nucleotides) under uncultured bacterium. RNAcentral's name for it is "partial 16S ribosomal RNA". It matches the Rfam family "Bacterial small subunit ribosomal RNA", at positions 509 to 808 of the family's 1533-position model. The record is from RNAcentral.